RNAcentral lists this long non-coding RNA (962 nucleotides) under Citrus sinensis (sweet orange). RNAcentral describes it as "long non-coding RNA (CSIN_LNC002721)". Lineage: Eukaryota; Viridiplantae; Streptophyta; Magnoliopsida; Sapindales; Rutaceae. The record is from RNAcentral.
UUCGAAACAGACAAAGUCAUUUUUGCUAUACCAUGAGCUAUAAUUGAAUUACAGCAGGAACUAGGAGUAUCUUAUAUUGAUUAUCCUUUUUUCACUAAAACUCUAAAUUAAUUUCAAUAAUUAUCCAAUCCAACUCUCGCCUACUAGAGGUACCAUUGAGAAUGAAGUUCGCAACGUUCUUUAAAUCUCACACUGUAAUUAGAGGAGAGAAACACCAGCUUCUUCUUCAGCCAUCUGACUUCACAUAGCUGAAGCCUCAACAGUUUCCACAUCUCCUGAACAACGUUUCUUUGAUGUUGCAGCUGGCCAUGUAAGCACUUUCAUAAUUUCUAAUGAUGCACCCCAAAAAGCAACAAUACUGUCUUCUUCUUCUUCUUUUUUACAGCAUUAUUAAGCUUUUAUACCAAGGAGGUUCUGGAGGAUACCAAAUAUUAGUUCGAGGAGGGAAACAAUUUUGCUAGAGAUAAGUGUGCUUUGGUGACCCUCAUUUGAUAGACUUCAACAGGAUUCCAAGAAGCCCUCAUAAAACUUGAGGACGACCCUCCCUUGAAUUACUACUAUACACAACUUUAUUUCGAGAUUUCCAAAUUGAACAAGCCUCCCGCACAAACAAUACAAACAUUUCUUUUUAAUCAUGUGAUGAUUGCCGGUUCAAUCACAUGGGAUCUAUCUAACCAACCACUUACAAGUUUAAAUCUGGGUUUACAAUUUAUUUUUUCACACGUAAUUUUUUUUUUUUUUUGUGGGGGGGUUAGUGCGCCUUGUGAAGCCACUUUAUAAAGUUAAACAUUUUUCAAUAAUAGAAUAUAAUGGAUAGAGAAUUGUUAGAUAAAAUGAUUCUAAAUUAUAUGGACAUGUAGUAUGGAGAAUUCACAAUCAAAUUAUCAAUUGGUUGUAAGAUGACACACGUGUGCUUUAUUACCGUGACAUCAGCUUUAUUGUACAAAUAAAAUGUUGAAAAA